This 253-nucleotide ribosomal RNA is filed under the name uncultured bacterium. RNAcentral's name for it is "partial 16S ribosomal RNA". It matches the Rfam family "Bacterial small subunit ribosomal RNA", at positions 524 to 776 of the family's 1533-position model. The record is from RNAcentral.
UACAGAGGUGGCAAGCGUUGUUCGGAAUUACUGGGCGUAAAGGGCGCGUAGGCGGCCUUCUAAGUCAGACGUGAAAUCCCCAGGCUUAACUUGGGAACUGCGUCUGAUACUGGGAGGCUUGAGUGCGGGAGAGGGAUGUGGAAUUCCAGGUGUAGCGGUGAAAUGCGUAGAUAUCUGGAGGAACACCGGUGGCGAAGGCGGCAUCCUGGACCAUUACUGACACUGAAAAGCGAAAGCCAGGGGAGCAAACGGG